GCGUAAUAGCUCACUGGUCGAGUCGGCCUGCGCGGAAGAUGUAACGGGGCUAAACCAUGCACCGAAGCUGCGGCAGCGACACUAUGUGUUGUUGGGUAGGGGAGCGUUCUGUAAGCCUGCGAAGGUGUGCUGUGAGGCAUGCUGGAGGUAUCAGAAGUGCGAAUGCUGACAUAAGUAACGAUAAAGCGGGUGAAAAGCCCGCUCGCCGGAAGACCAAGGGUUCCUGUCCAACGUUAAUCGGGGCAGGGUGAGUCGACCCCUAAGGCGAGGCCGAAAGGCGUAGUCGAUGGGAAACAGGUUAAUAUUCCUGUACUUGGUGUUACUGCGAAGGGGGGACGGAGAAGGCUAUGUUAGCCGGGCGACGGUUGUCCCGGUUUAAGCAUGUAGGCUGGUUGUCCAGGCAAAUCCGGAUAAUCAAGGCUGAGGUGUGAUGACGAGGCACUACGGUGCUGAAGUAACAAAUGCCCUGCUUCCAGGAAAAGCCUCUAAGCAUCAGGUAACAUCAAAUCGUACCCCAAACCGACACAGGUGGUCAGGUAGAGAAUACCAAGGCGCUUGAGAGAACUCGGGUGAAGGAACUAGGCAAAAUGGUGCCGUAACUUCGGGAGAAGGCACGCUGGUGUGUAGGUGAAGCCCCUGCGGGUGGAGCUGAGACCAGUCGAAGAUACCAGCUGGCUGCAACUGUUUAUUAAAAACACAGCACUGUGCAAACACGAAAGUGGACGUAUACGGUGUGACGCCUGCCCGGUGCCGGAAGGUUAAUUGAUGGG
Molecule: ribosomal RNA, 770 nt
Filed under: Klebsiella pneumoniae
Lineage: Bacteria; Pseudomonadati; Pseudomonadota; Gammaproteobacteria; Enterobacterales; Enterobacteriaceae
Description: partial 23S ribosomal RNA
Rfam family: Bacterial large subunit ribosomal RNA
Source: RNAcentral